This is a non-coding RNA of Phascolarctos cinereus (koala), 1813 nucleotides long. NCBI's taxonomy places the organism in Eukaryota, Metazoa, Chordata, Mammalia, Diprotodontia, Phascolarctidae. The record is from RefSeq and is a predicted model, not a curated record.
UCUGCAUAUGUGUACAUGCAUGCAUGUGGGGGGAGGCAGGAAGGGGAGGAGAGGAAGAGGGGACCGAUGACCGCUGACCUCCCCAUGUAGCUCAGGGGCCUGGACCCAGUUUGGAUCUCCUCUCGGGCCCAGGGACAGGCCCUGUUUGUUUUCUCUGGCCCCCUCCUCACCCCUUUCUCAGGAGCAGCAUGGGAAACUUGGCCCCUAGAGUAAGACCUCAGAGCAACCUGUCAGGGCAGAGUAUCUCCAGCAGAUGAGGUUGCAGAAAGAAUGCUGGGUCGGGUUCUGGCUUGUUUGACCUUGACCACUUCCCAUGCCAAGCCUCAGUUUCUUGAUCUAUAGAAUGGGGAUGUAAUCCUUUUACUCUCCUGCCUAAGCCAGUUGUGAGGCAAGUGCCUAGUCAUUAAUAUAAUUCAAGCCAUUGACAGAGAUGUGUUUUUGACUGAUUGAUUUCACAUUUUUAGCAAUGACUGAGAGCUCAAUAGAUGUCAGCAUUGUGAUGUGGCCCCCAGGGAGGCUCAUGCAAUUGGACCUGUGGCUGCAUUAGGCAGCAGGGUUGUCUUCUAGGUCGUGGUCCCCACCAUCCUCUGUCCAGGUCAGGCAGCACCUGGAGUGUUUCCUUCAGUUCUGGAGAGCACGGUUGUGAGUCCUCUGGGAAGCUGGUGAAGGUCCAGUGUCCAGAGGAGAGCUAUCAGGAUGGCGAAAGGCUGUGAUCCUUGCUGAAGGGCACGUUUAGAUUGAAGAAGAGAAGAUGUGGGGAGGGGGCUGAUGGGAGAGCUGUCUCCAAGUGUCUGAAGGGUUGCAUGUGGAAGAGGGAAUACACUUGUUCUGUCUGGAGCUGUAAACAGGGACAAAUUUAGGCUGGAAGACAGAAAAGAGCAGGCCGUCUCAGGCAGGAGGAUCCUUUUGAUGGAGUCUUUAAGCAGAGGCUGGAGGUCCGUUUUUCAGUGGGUAAAUCGCGCCUACAGUCCCUCCUGAAACCAGCACCAAGACUGCGUCAGCCGACUGCCUCCACGGUCCUGCUCAGACGGUGCCACGACCAUUACCCAGCUCCAUUCAGUUGCUCAUUUUGAGAAAAAGAGGAACAAGGUGGAAAGUCAGAGCUGGAUAUAUCCUCCGGUGUAAGAGCCGGGACAGAUUGUAGGGAGCAUCUAUUCCAACCCCCUCACUCUACAUAUGAGAAAAUGGAGGUACCAGAGAAACUGAAGUGACUUGUAAUCCCCAUUAAACUGAAGACAAAAGUAUGAGACCCAGGUUCAGGGAGAGGAGCCCAGAGCUGCAGAAAAUUGCGAGCUGGAAUCCAGGCCACGUUCUGCAGUGGGUUCAUCAUUGGUGCUCCAAGGCUUUCUGGAGUGACCUUUGGGACCUCAUUCCUGACUCAGGCCAGACUCAUCCUGUAGUAAUACUGACUUUAGGUCAAUAGGCUCCCAGCCUCUCCAGGAAGAUGGGUGAUAACAGCUAAGCAAGUCGACGGGUCUGCACACAUACCACACCCCCUUUACUCUGGAAAAAAGAUGUGGUGAUAACAAAGAUCCAGCUUGGCUUCAUCAAGAACUGGGCGUGCCACACUAAAUCUUAUUUCCUUUUUUGACAAGGAAGGAUGAGGCAGUGGGGCACAGUGGUGGUGUGUGCAGUAAUUCCUGCUACUGGAAAGGCUAGAGCCAGGGAGUUCCGAGCUGCAGGGGGCUGUGCUGCUCAGCUGUCUCAACUACGUUUGGCAUUAAUAUGGGCUGCUGGGAGCUCCAGUGGACAGACUGCCAGACCUACCAUAAGGAAGACCUGAGUCCAAAUUUGGCCGCAGACACUACUACCU